This 253-nucleotide ribosomal RNA is filed under the name uncultured bacterium. RNAcentral's name for it is "partial 16S ribosomal RNA". It matches the Rfam family "Bacterial small subunit ribosomal RNA", at positions 524 to 776 of the family's 1533-position model. The record is from RNAcentral.
UACGGAGGGUGCAAGCGUUAUCCGGAUUCACUGGGCUUAAAGGGUGCGUAGGAGGGCAGGUAAGUCCGUGGUGAAAUCUCUGAGCUUAACUCAGAAACUGCCGUGGAUACUACCGGUCUUGAAUACCGUGGAGGUGAGCGGAAUAUGUCAUGUAGCGGUGAAAUGCUUAGAUAUGACAUAGAACACCAAUUGCGAAGGCAGCUCACUACCCGAAUAUUGACUCUGAGGCACGAAAGCGUGGGGAUCAAACAGG